RNAcentral lists this ribosomal RNA (253 nucleotides) under uncultured bacterium. RNAcentral describes it as "partial 16S ribosomal RNA". It matches the Rfam family "Bacterial small subunit ribosomal RNA", at positions 524 to 776 of the family's 1533-position model. The record is from RNAcentral.
UACGAAGGAUGCGAGCGUUAUCCGGAUUUAUUGGGUUUAAAGGGAGCGUAGGCGGCCUUAUAAGUCAGUGGUGAAAUCCUAUCGCUUAACGAUAGACGUGCCAUUGAUACUGUAGGGCUUGAGUACAGAUGCCGUUGGCGGAAUGUGUCAUGUAGCGGUGAAAUGCGUAGAUAUGACACAGAACACCGAUUGCGAAGGCAGCUGACGAAACUGUAACUGACGCUGAGGCUCGAAAGCGUGGGGAUCAAACAGG